CUCGCCGCCCUUCGGGCUCAGCCCCGGGUGGACCUAGCCGUUAAAAACAAAAACAAAAACAAAAAACAAACAAAACAUCUGGAGCUCGAAACCAGCCCGGGAAGCCGCGGGGCCCCCUCCGCGCGUACUGCACCCCCGCUGCCCGCCCGCCUGCGCCCCGCGCCCAGCGCAGCAUGGAGCCCGGAGCCCGCAUUCCGAGCCCCGCGCCCCGCGCCGGGGAGGAGGGGCGGGGCGUGCGGCGCGAGCCCCGGGAAACAUGGCUGCUCGUCCUAUUUCGGCGUCUCGGCAUGGCCACCAGCUCCCGGAGCCCAGUUGGGAGAGGUGCCGAAGGAGGCAGCCCCUCUCCUCCUCCUCCCUCGUUAAUCUUCCCCCCAGACGGAGUCACGGGAGCAGCGAUCUCCGAGGGUGAUUUCGCCUCAUUCUCUCCGACCCAAACGCGUGCGCCCGCCGGCCCCCGAUGGGUGCACACUCGCACGCACACUCUCGCACCCACACUCGCACACGCGGGAGCACACGCACAGGUAGUCACACACCAAGGGCAGCGGUGGCGGCAGCCGGAACAUGCUCGGAUGGCAUUGCAACCCCCCAGCCUUGCCAUUCGCCUGCAGUCCGACCCCCAAACCCACACCUCCCAGGCGCCCCCCAUCAAAAAAAGUGCCUCCCCCCAGCGCGCACACACACACACAAAGUAGGAGAAUGGACCGACAGAGAUAUUUUUGGCAAAUGCUCACAUCAGAGGGCGUCCUGUUCCGCAGCUCUAAAUGAAUCCGUCUGCCCAUCUCCAUCUCUCGCGCUCUCUCUCUGCAGAGGCUCCCGCGCCGGCGGAUUUCAAUCAAUAAACCCCGAACCCACGGCCGCGCGUUUUAGGACUUUGAAGGCUCAACCAGCUCCGCUCGGUUCUCGAGCCCCCAGCACCCGCGGCGCACACUAACCUGAUCGCCGUGGAGGCGGGAUCUGCGGCCUCGCGGGCGAGCGGCAGCAGCUAGAGCCAAUCGCCACCGAGGGUCUCCGGGCAACAGCCAAUGGCAGCCGCGGCGGGGGGGGAAGGGACCAAUGGGCGGGCUGCGCAGCCGGCCAGGGAGGCUCGGCCAUUUGGUUGUGGUGCCGGAGACGGACCCCUUUAGAUUUCGGGGCGGCUGAGGAGCGCGGCGGCUGCUCUGUGGCUGAGUGAGGGGGGUGGGCGGAAUGGCGGGGGAAGGGAAGGUGACUGUGCCUCGAGGGCCAAGGCGCCCGGCCUCGCCAGCCCGCCGCCGCCUCAGCGUUCGGCCGGGGGCGGGGCCGCAGGUGCGUUCUACGAGGGGGAGGGGCGCGGCCGGAGGGAUCGGGUCGGGGUCCCCGCCCGGCUUAGGGCUUCGCGGGGCGGCGCGACCGGGUUGCGGAAGGAGGCGGGAGGCCUGAGGUCCGGGGGGCCGCGGGCUGCCCUGCGGGAGGGCGGAUGAAAGGCCUGGAAGGAGGGGAGGGGUCAGGGUGCAGUGCGGGGAGGGGCUCGUCGUGUCCCGGGUCCCGCGGGUAGCGCUGGGGAGCGUGGCUGCCCCAGCCACCCUCGCCGCGGCCGCCCUGCCCGCGCGCCCCUUCCCUCCGGCCUCGUCCGGGUCAGGUGGCCGCCAUCGCCACCCUCGAAUGCAUAAGUCAAUAAAAGCAAGAUGCUUCCACUUUUGGAUGACUUACCGCGCGGUCGCGACCCUUGCUACGAAGAGGCUUUUCAGUUUGCUGUCAUGUAAGGUCAGCUUGGAAGACGGGAUCACCAGGAGACACCCAAGAUCUUGUUUAGGCAAUAAAUGAAUGAAGAUCAUGGAUUAAGAUCUGUUGCUGGAUAUAUAGAAUAUUAAAAGGUGUAAAAGGAGGGUGCUCAUAACUCCUGGUUUUCUGGACCAAACAUAAUUUAUGGGCUUUAUAGACCUAGUGAAAGAGAACGGCGCAGAGUUUAUUCUAAUCGUCCACCUGAGUCAUUUGGUUCUAUUCGGGUUGCCAAGGAGGCUCUAACUGGAGCACUUUGUCCAGGUUUUUCGGCGUGCUUGCCUUGGGUAUUUUUGAAUCACACUAAGUUUUAAGAGACCUUAAAGCCCUGAUGCCCACUGCGUUACCGACUUGUGGCAGUAAGUUGGCUGCCUGUAGCUGUUAAUAAACCACGAGGAUUGUCGUCAACAAGGACAGAUACAUCCUGAUUUUACCUUUCCACACGACUGUAUUUUAGUGUCUGUUUCUACAUGUCUCCACUCAUCCCCACACACCUCAAGGUAGUUUUCUCUUUCUGGAUACAUGGUGUUUAUUUUUCAGGAACAUGAGUUCAAAGGGGGAAAUAAGUAUGUAUGUUGCAAAGUUUAAAAUAAUGUUACGUAGUACCAAUACAGUUCCAUUAUUAGACGUAUAAAGUUGAGGAAAUAAGAAGUGACAGUGUAAAUAAAACACAUAUAGAAUGGUUACACUGGGGAAGAAGCUGUAGUAACUUAAAUAUUGCAACCUGAUGGAUCGCAAGCUUAAAGCCCUGGAACUAGGGAUUUGACUUUUCAGAUAAAGUGAUAAAUGAAAUUUGAAUUCUGAUGUUUACUCUGAGUAGAUGGGAAAUGCAACAUAAAAGUUAAAAGUCAUCGUUUUAUUUCAUCUGGGUGUAAAUCAUAAUUUAUUUAAAUUGUUGACUUAGUGGUCAUCCUUAGAUUUUGUUAAUCUUAUUGAAGCCUGUUUGUACAGUUGGAAUUUAUCCUUUUUUGAGUUUCAUUGACUUCUUUGUAAUACAUGAGGCUCCCCAAGUUACCUAUUAAGGCCAUUGAGUCAGUUGUUAUUUCUGGAUAUGGUAUUUAAGGUUGUAUUCAGACAGAGCUCUUAUCAAAACAGGUAAAUAUAGUGUGUAUGAUCUAUGUAACAGGAUUCCCUAAGUUUGUGCUCUCUUGGAUGGUGAGUGUUCAUCUUCAAUUUAAAAGUUUAACCACGGUUAAGACUACGCUGCUAGCAAUGCGAUAUGAGACAGUGUCUUUCCAGAGGAGUAAUCCCUUAAAAACCAACCAAUCAAAUGCAGAGAAUGCCCCAUCCAGCUCUGCUAAAUAGAAGCAAAUAGCUCACUUCAUUGUACAAAUAGCUCACUCUACUGAAGAGGAAGACUCAGAAGCUAACCCCUCCCCCAUUAAAGAGAAAGUACAGAACAAAUUAAAAUUAGAACUGAAAAAAUCAUGACCUGGUUACAAAAUACAUUAAACGUGAUAGUUGAUUUUAGAAGCAUCUUACUUUUGUACAUUUUGAUUACUUUUGUAUUAAUAUUAGAAAAUUGAAAGAGGAUUCACUGUAUGUCAGUCAUUACAAAAGCUGAAAUAUCCAAAAGUAUAUGUGUGACCAAUUAAAUACUUUCUGCUUUCCUUACAUACUUGAAAUAAAUUUUCUUUUGCUUUUACAAAUCUAUUUGUAAGAAAGUUUUUAUAUGAUUUUGCUUUUUUAUUUAAAAGAAAAAAGGAAUAUAGCUCAGCCAAAGCUGAGCCAUUUGCCCCACACAGUAUUAAAAAAAAAACACUGCUCUUACAAUCUUAUUUUACGAAGUUGUUUUUAAAAUUACAUUUCAUUGUAUAUUAUAGUAGUAAAUCAGUGCUCUAAGUGGCACUGCAUUUCAGAAAAUAUAAAAAGAAGUCCCAUAUCAAGGAAUCCUGGCUGAAUUUUGAAACAGUGGGAACAGGUGAACGUUCCUAACUACUGAGUAAUUCUACAAUAGGAAUUAGGUUAUGAAAGAUGUAGAGUCUCUAACCUCUGGAACUAGGUUUGAUUCACACUGAGAAAAAUAAAUGAGAUACAAUUCAAAGUCUGACCCGCUGGAGAGAGAGAUGGUCAAGGAAGGAAAGAUCUUCCUGCCUCCCAGAAUAUCUUCCAUCCAGAACCAUUUCAAAUACAUGAGCAACCUAUUUUGUUCUCAAAGAUAUAUGAGCAAUGAGUAUCCUUGGGCUCUUUUGAAAUGUGUAAGAGAGUACUGUUUUACAAAUAACCAUAUAGUUACUAUUGCCAUUUUAUUGGGUUGGUGCAAAAGUAACUCUUAAAAAAAAAAAAAAAAAAAAAAGUAAAAAACCGCAAUUACUUUUGCACCAGUAGCUCAUUUGCCCUUGUUUAGGCUCUAAAGAUACAGACCCUUUGAUUAGCAUCCUUUUUAUGAGUCGAGCUAAUAUACUUUUUGUUAUUCAGCUUCAAUCACAUACUCUGGCAGGUGGCCAUAGUACUGUGUCACCUACAUCAUGGUUCUGCUGCUUGGACCCCAAAGAUAAUGAUACGGAAGAACUCCAGCUUAAUUAUCUUCUCUUUCCUUUGUAUAUAUAAAGAGUUUUUAGGAAUGUAGAUUGUCCUUUUGAAAUCUGUGGUAACAAAUGUGAAGACUACUACAUUUUUAUUUGAAUAGCAAAAUAAUAUUGAAGCCUGGGAUCUAAAGAGUUAAAUAUUCCUUAUUUUCUUUUGCUUAAUAAUGUAUUGGAUGAUUUAGGAAAAAAAAAACUUUUUAAUGAUGGAAUAGUUACCUUAUCAAUGGGUUGGUCAUGGAGAAAAAGUACUGUUUGGUGAAAACAGGCAUGUUUGUGACUUUUAAAAUGACAUUAAUAAGCCAGGCAUAGUGAUGUGCCCCAGUAUGUACAGCUACUUGGGAGGCUGAAGUGAAAGGAUCUCUUGAGCCCAGGAGUUCAAGGACAGCUCAGACAGCAUAGCAAGAUCUGUUUCUCUAAAAACAAAAACAAAAUAAUAAAAAUCUUAAAAACAGCUUAAAGAUGGUUGGUUUCUUUUGAAAAGGAAAAAAAAAAAAUUGCCCUGGUGCUGUGGCUCAUGCCUGUAAUCCCAGCACUUUGGGAGGCCUCAGGCAGAUUGCUUGAACUCAGAAGUUUGAGACCAGCCUGGGCAACCUGGUGAAAUCCCAUCUCUACCGAAAAUGCAAAAAAAAAAAAAAAAUUAGCCUGGCAUGUUGGCAUGCACCUGUGGUCCCAGGUACUCCAGAGGCGGAGGUGGGAGGAUCACCUGAGCCUGGGAGGUGAAGGUUGCAGUGAGCCUGCAAGAGAUCAUGCCUCUGUACUCCAGCCUGGGUGACAGAGCCAGACCUCCUCUUGAAGAAAAAAGAAAAAAAGGCUGGGUGCGGUGGCUCACGACUGUAAUCCCAGCACUUUGGGAGGCCAAGAUGGGUGGAUCACCUGAGGUCAGGAGUUUGAGACCAGCCUGGUCAACAUGGUGAAACCUCAUCUCUACUAAAAAAAAAAAAAAAAAUUUGUUGGGCGUGGUGACAGUAAUCCCAGCUACUCAGGAGGCCAAGGCAGAAUUACUUGAACCCGGGAGACAGAUGUUGCAGUGAGCUGAGAUCACAUCAUUGCACACCAUCAGGCCUGGGUGAUGAAUGAAAUUCCGUCUCAAAUAAAUAAAAAUAAAAUCACUUUCACACUUGUUUGGAAAUCUCUAGAAAUUUUGUGGAUCGGUUUCUUAAAUAUAUUUAUUAAAGGCAGUUUUGAAGUAGUAAUAAGGGAAGUUUGUUUACUGUCCAUCAGGAAGAAAACCAGAGCAGUAAGCUCUUACUUUUAGUAUUAAGAUGCGGCUAUGAAGGAAUAAAAAAAUGCCUGCCUUAAAGAGAAAUAAUGGAAUGAGGAGCAAUUGUGGUCGAAAAAAUAGAAAUACAAUUAAUUUAGAGUCUACUAAUUUGUUUUAAUCCAUCUGGAGUUGAAGUUUACUUCUAUGACAAAUACUAAAAUCUAUUAAGAUAUGAGGUAGAGAUCAGACUUUUUAAGAACUUUUAAUAUUUUUACUAUUUGCAAAGACAUAACUUCCGUAUACAUAGUAAAAUUAUGUAUACAAUAAUUAAGUCCUCUUAGAUUCUGUGCUUUGUAAUGACAAUUAUUUAUACCUCUAAGUAACAAUCUAUUUGUAAAAAAAAGUUGUGUACAACACCUCUUGAAUUAGAGAUCAAUUUAAUGCAUUCUGAGAAAUUAGUAAAUUUUUUAACAUAAUUGAAAUAUUGGGUCUUUUCAGGUGAGUAUAUGAAUACCCUAAACUUUCUUUAGAAGUUCUGGAUCCAAGCAACUUUAAUAUAAAAACCUUGAAUUCAUUUGUACAUGACAAAAUGAGAUAGCCAUGAUAGGUGUUGGAGGACUUUUACCCAGUGGAGGAACACGUUUUACUCUGUUGGAUUUUUUUUUCUUUCUUUUUGAGACGGUCUCACUGUCACUGAGGCUGGAGAGCAGUGAUGCAAUCAUGGCACACUGCAAUCUUGACCUGUUGUGCUCAAGCAAUCCUCCUGCCUCAGCCUCCCAAGUAUCUGGGGCCACAGGCAUGUGCCACCACACCUGGCUAAUUUUUAAAUUUUUAAUUUAAUUUAAUUUUUUUGAGAUGGAGUCUUGCUCUGUUGCCCAGGCUGGAGUGCAGUGGCACGACCUUGGCUCACUGCAACCUCCACCUCCUGGGUUCAAGUAAUUCUCCUGCCUCACCUUCCUGGGUAGCUGGGACUGCAGGCGUGUGCUACCACGCAGAGCUGAUUUUUGUAUUUUUAGUGAGAUUGGCUUUCACCAUAUUGGCCAGACUGGUCUCAAACUCCUGACCUCAUGAUCUGCCUGCACUGGCCUCCCAAAGUGCUGGGAUUACAGGCAUGAGCCACUGCGCCUGGCCCAAUUUUUAAAUUUUUUAUAGAGAUGAGGUCUAACCAUGUUGGCUAGGCCAGUCUCAAACUUCUGGGCUCAAGCAAUCCUCCUGCCUGGGCCUUCCAAAGUUCUGGGAUUACAGAUGUGAGUCAUGGCUCCCAGCCUUGCACUGGUCUUAUAAUUAUGUAUCUGAAGUUAUUGUAUAUGCCUUCUUGUAUAUAAGAAUGAUCACUUCUACAUACAUUUAUUGAAAGGCAAGUUGAGUAAGUGUGACACACAUUUUUCACUAGGCUAGACCAACUCAUGUCUGUGUUUAUGUUGAGAAGUAAUUCUAUAGAUAAGGGAGAAUAGCAGACAAAUUCAGGAUACGAGUGUGCAAAGCUGCAUAACAGAUUUGUUGAUCAUGGUAUCAUAGCACUUUUGUAAUAGUGAAAGAAAAGAAAGGGGAAGAAGGGAAAUGAAAAAGAAAAAACAGAAAAUAUUCAUAUGCCCAGGAAAAGGGUCCUGGAGAGUAUGUACCAAAAAAUGUUUAAAAACUUGGAUUACAGUGGUUUUGCAAUGGGUGGUGAGGUCAUAGUGGUUUUUGGUUUUGGGGUCUUUUGUGUAUAUUUAAAAAGUUUUCCAUUGAUAAUUUUUGCAAUUAAAGAGUUACUUUAAUGGAAAUUAUAGGUGUAGAUGAUAUGUGGAAUGUUUACGCUAGUCACAAUUUUUGGUGGAGACAACAGAAAUGUACCCUGACCAACGCAAGAAAAAGGCAAUUUUUAUAAGUCUGUCACAGAGCCAAGGAAAAACAAGUUCCAGGGAAGAAUCAGAAGCCAGGAAAGCUGGCAGCCUGGAGCACAGCCAAGAUGAUCCCUGUCCUAGGUACAGUCUGCAGAGGACCCCGCACCUCACAAGCCAUCUCUAUCAUGUGGACUCUGAACCCCACCGUACCUACAAUGAUCUCAGCAUCCUGCCUUUUUGUGUCACUCCCUCGAGGUUCAAAGCCCUUGGCAAGAAGAUUUACAGAAUUUACAGAUGCCCCAGCUGUCAGAGAAAAAAGAUUAUCUUCCCCCUUUAGCUACCACAGUGGGAUGUGUGACCCUCCCUCCUGUCUAUUUUAGGACUGUGCCUAACCCAAGUGUUCUGGUGCUAGGUGACCAAAACCAAAAAUCCAUGAACACGUUCUAACAAAAUAAUACUAUGAAGGUUUCCUGAUGUUCCAUAUCACUCCCAUAAUAUCUCCCUUCCUCCUCUCUAGUACUUACCAGCAAGACACUGUAUCACCUGUUUAGGAUCAAUGUAAAGUAGAGCUAAUACCUGAAAUCCCAGUUUCUUUCCAAAUGCUUCCCUUUCCAAAUUUGAAGCCAGAAGAAAAUAUAUUACUGCUGUUGCCGGUAAGACUUUAUCGGCCAGGCACGGUGGGUGACACCUGUGAUCCCAGCAGUUUUUGAGGCCGAGGUGGCAAAAUAAGUUGAGGUCAGGAGUUCAAGACCAGCCUGCCCAAUGUGGUGAAACCCCAUCUCUACUAAAAGUACAAAAAUUAGUUCAACAGGAUGGCGCACACCUGUAAUCCCACCUACUUGGGAGGCUGAGGCAGGAGGACCACUUGAACCUGGGAGGUAGAGAUUGCAACUAGCCAACACGGUACUUACAGCCUGGGUGACGGAGGCUCAAAGAAAAAAGGCUUUACCAAAGCAGAGCUGGUGAUAACCUUAAGACUUGGAAAGGAAAUAUCCCCAGUAGAAAUAUUUGAUUUUAAAUUACAAGGAAUUUAGUCCUAAAGGAUAAUCUACAUAUUUCAUAGAUAAAUGCAGAUACCUCUAGAUAUCAAAUGAUAUAAGAUUUGAGCAGUGAUGGAUUACUGCUACUGGGUUUCUGUCUGCUACUCUGAGGACAAGUUCAGGCUCAAGUGCAGAACUAAGAUGAAGGGUAUGAGAUUUGUAGUCAAAAUCUUCCGGAAGUAGGAAGGUAGUCACAGACAAAGACAGAGUAAGCGUUCAUCACAGGAUGCGGUCAUUGAAGGACAGUUUUGAAGAAUAAAAGCUGAUCGUGAAACCAAUGCAAAAACCAUAAACACAUUGAAGAGGCCUUUAUUCCUGGGAACAAAGAGGAAGGUUAUCAAGGAUGUGCUUGUAGAAAACAUAUUAAUGCUGGAAUAUUGUCUUCCUUCCCAUCAUUUCAGGUCAGUUAGCUACUCAGCUAGAAAAAAGAAAUGAUGCCCUUGUGAGGACUCUGAGCAAUACUGGAAUUCAGCUGUUUUGUUUCUAAUAAAACAUGGUUUAACUGUUA
Non-coding RNA from Callithrix jacchus (white-tufted-ear marmoset), 8840 nucleotides. The record is from RefSeq and is a predicted model, not a curated record. Lineage: Eukaryota; Metazoa; Chordata; Mammalia; Primates; Cebidae.